GGCUUUGGCUCAGUGGGAGGGUGUCUGCUUUGCAUGCUGAAGGUCCCAGGUUCAGUCCCUCACCCUGGCUUCUCCU
This is a non-coding RNA of Podarcis lilfordi (Lilford's wall lizard), 76 nucleotides long. Lineage: Eukaryota; Metazoa; Chordata; Lepidosauria; Squamata; Lacertidae. The record is from the annotation of a GenBank genome assembly.